GCGCCCGUAGCUCAGCUGGAUAGAGCGUCUGCCUCCGGAGCAGAAGGCCACAGGUUCGAAUCCUGUCGGGCGUACCA
RNAcentral lists this transfer RNA (77 nucleotides) under Lentisphaerota bacterium. Its description in RNAcentral is "Lentisphaerae bacterium tRNA-Arg". It matches the Rfam family "tRNA". From Rfam's summary of the family: Transfer RNA (tRNA) molecules are approximately 80 nucleotides in length. The record is from RNAcentral. RNAcentral also lists the same sequence under 10 other names. Lineage: Bacteria; Pseudomonadati; Lentisphaerota.